AAGAAGAAAAAAAAAGGGGUGAAACCCUAGUCCUCAAGAAAGCUUCAAAUUGAUAAGGAAAUUAGGCUCAAAUCCAAUGCAUGAACUUGAUUCCUUGGCCAUCUAGCCCUAACAAACUUACGAAUAGGAACCACACUAACACGGACCAAGUAUGGAAAGCUAACGGGUCAAGCGGAAGCGAGGGAGCAAGUAUGGACACUAACGCUUAAGGUAGUAUGAAUCACAGACUUUCUUCACAAGGAGUAGCGAUCAAGGACCGAGUCACAAGUCAGAUUGUACGGGAAUACUUGAUUAUGUAAAUUGAUAGUUAUAGCUUAUGUUUCUGUUAUGUAAAUGAGUACAAAAGCUAGUCUUGAUGUAAGAAAGUAUUUUAUAAUGAACUUGCAAGUAGGUCAAAAACGUGUUCAUUGAAAGAA
Molecule: long non-coding RNA, 416 nt
Organism: Helianthus annuus (common sunflower)
Lineage: Eukaryota; Viridiplantae; Streptophyta; Magnoliopsida; Asterales; Asteraceae
Exons: 3
Source: RefSeq, a predicted model, not a curated record